ACUUAUGCAGGUCCGUCAGGCUAAAGGCUCCUUCGACAUGCAGAGGAAGGAGGUUUCCAGACUCCGAGUUGAAGAAGAGAUUCGCCGUCAUGUCAGAUUUGGGAAAACACUAGCACAGGGCUAUGCUUUCAGGCAGGACUUUCUGAUGGAAAUGAAGCAUGCACUUGAAGCAUCGGCGUCUUCCCAGAAUGCUGUGCUGUUACUGGGGGAACCGGGGUCUGGAAAGAGCACAACUCUUGCCAAAUUGGCACAACUCAUACCUAGCUGGAUACCUGGGGAUGCCAAAGUGCUGAUCUGCUUUGUAGGUCUGACAUCCGACAGCAGAAACGUACGUCUGCUCCUCCAGACCCUGUGUCUGCAGGUAGCCAACAUCUAUAACCUCAAAACAGAGAUAUCUGAGUCACUGUCAGAGUUGUCUAGUGAGCUGUGCUCAUUAUUGGGCCUGGUGACAGAAGACCGGCCCUUGACCCUGGUGCUGGAUGGUCUGGAUAAUCUGAGUGAGGAACAUGAGGCUGACCUUUCCUGGCUUAGUAAUGCUUUACUGCCAAACAUCUUCAGCUGUUCCUUAUAUGUACAUUUAUCUUUUCUGGCCUCUUAUUGCUACCUGUCCCAACUUUUUUGGAAUGUCUAGCUCUCAUGAAAUCCAAAAAGAGCCAAUAUUUGGCAUGACAUUUCAAAAUGUCUCACUUUCAACAUUUGAUAUUGUAACGGAGUGAGGAAUCACACGACAAGAGGACUUCAAUAAAUUCUGGGUGAGGGUGAAUUUAUUGAGAGGU
Cyprinus carpio (common carp) is the source of this 776-nucleotide long non-coding RNA. The record is from Ensembl. Lineage: Eukaryota; Metazoa; Chordata; Actinopteri; Cypriniformes; Cyprinidae.